ACUAAACCCAAUUACAAACUUUUUUCUCAUUGCACUUAGACAAGCAUUCUCUUCUGCUAUGAGAUAUAUCAGUCCGCCAUGUAUUCUAUGUAGAUGAAAAAUUGGAUACAAAACAGUCUAACAAGACAACGAAGAGAAGUUUGCAGCUCUGUUUUGAAAAAAAGAAGCAGAGAUGGGUGAGUUAUCUUAGGCCAGGAUUAAUGUGUGGAAGGUCGGGUUAGGGUUUCCAAAACUGAGAGAUUGAUGAGUUCGAUUUGGAUUUCGAUUGGUUUGACUCACUACUCCACCGGCGUCGACUUGUGGUCCAUCGGAUGCAUCUUCGACGAGAUGGUGAGGAGGAGGCAGGCUCUGCUUCCAGGAUCUUCUGUUCCCACAGUUGCUUCACAUUUUAAGCUUCCCGGCUGUGUGGCUAAAUAGAUUGUGGCAAUGGAUACAAUAAAAAAAAGUUGUAUUCAAGCUACCCCAAGGAUGAUUUAAAAAGAAUAGAGAAAGAGGUUGAUGAUUUGACCAGAAGGCUUGUCAAGACAGCAGAGGACUUGUGCAAGGCAAAGGAGAAGGAGAUCGGUGCAGGGUAAAAGGUGGUAUUUUGUCUGUGUUUUUGUAUCUCGAUUGGCGGAAGGCCCCACCUCCUUCCUGAAGAGCUUUACCUGAAUUUGCUUUUGUAAAAGAGUCCUUUAGUUUAUCAUUAUUUAAUAUGCGAAAUUGAUGUUUCAAAUUAUGAUAAAGUGAGUUCCUUUAAACGGGUUCAGAGAUUUAGCUCCCAUACAUGUUAUUAACAACAUAACCUCGUCCCACACUGAUUGUUGCUUAUAUAAAUUUUGCUGCUUAUUAUUUAUGUGGGCUCCCGCUACCAAUUGUUUCAGCUUAUAUUGUACAUUUAUGUUCAUACGUUUUGCUGAUGAUUUCAGCUAAAGGAGCUUGAGAUGCCAGGCCCAAAGACAAGAUAGGAACCUCUAUACGUAGAUGAUUUCAGUUAGUGGAUGAAGACCUAGUUCUCAAAGACAAGAUAGGAACCUCUCUUAGGAAUUUGUAUAGCAGACUUGAAUCUAAUCUCCAAAGCAGUAAGAAGCGUCAUGCAGAACUCUUUGAGCAGUGUAAUGAGCUAAAGAGGGGGCAAGAGGAUUUUGUGAGAGUUUCUAAGCUAAGUAAUAUCUCUUUCAAAGGCUUGAACUGUUUUCUACUUUGUAAGAAUGUUAUAUGUGGAUCUGAAUCUCAUGCUUCUAAAUCAAGAGAAUGGGACUCUUAAUAACUGUGAUUUAAUACUGACUUAAGUUUAUCUUAUGGAGAGGAUCAUUCCAGCAACAUAUCCAUACAGAAUGAAAUGAAGCUAAUAAAGCUUUAUCUUGUAUGUUGGUCCAUAAGUGCCCUUGUGUACUAUUGUUAAAGUGCCCUGGUUUUGUGACCAUCUGCUCGAGAUUAGGAAAUUAUAGUUCCUCAUGUAUUUUUGUUUGAGAUGAGUGGUCAGUGGGAAAUGAGGAAAAAACAAACACAUAUUUUACUUCACUUCUUGUAUUUGUAUGUAUAUGCUCCCAAGGGGAUAGAUCAGGAAGAAAACACAGUUUCAUAUGAAAGCAUGCUUAUGCAGGUCUUUGAGUAUUGCAAAAGGAUUUAGAUAUGCAAAGUCAAAAUGGCUGUGAUUCAUAUGUAUA
Long non-coding RNA from Prunus avium (sweet cherry), 1649 nucleotides. RefSeq lists it as uncharacterized. The record is from RefSeq and is a predicted model, not a curated record. NCBI's taxonomy places the organism in Eukaryota, Viridiplantae, Streptophyta, Magnoliopsida, Rosales, Rosaceae.